This 425-nucleotide ribosomal RNA is filed under the name uncultured bacterium. Its description in RNAcentral is "bacterial SSU rRNA". It matches the Rfam family "Bacterial small subunit ribosomal RNA", at positions 356 to 773 of the family's 1533-position model. The record is from RNAcentral.
GGGGAAUUUUGGACAAUGGGGGAAACCCUGAUCCAGCCAUCCCGCGUGUGCGAUGAAGGCCUUCGGGUUGUAAAGCACUUUUGGCAGGCAAGAAAUGGCGUGUGUUAAUACCAUGCGCAGAUGACGGUACCUGCAGAAUAAGCACCGGCUAACUACGUGCCAGCAGCCGCGGUAAUACGUAGGGUGCAAGCGUUAAUCGGAAUUACUGGGCGUAAAGCGUGCGCAGGCGGUCCGGAAAGAAAGAUGUGAAAUCCCAGGGCUCAACCUUGGAACUGCAUUUUUAACUACCGGACUAGAGUAUGUCAGAGGGAGGUGGAAUUCCACGUGUAGCAGUGAAAUGCGUAGAUAUGUGGAGGAACACCGAUGGCGAAGGCAGCCUCCUGGGAUAAUACUGACGCUCAUGCACGAAAGCGUGGGGAGCAAAC